AUUAAUAUGGCAGAUCAAGUGCAAUAGAAUUAAAAUCUAUUUAUAAAUUAUUUAUUUUAUUAAUA
Molecule: transfer RNA, 65 nt
Filed under: Sceliphron madraspatanum
Lineage: Eukaryota; Metazoa; Arthropoda; Insecta; Hymenoptera; Sphecidae
Description: tRNA-Leu
Source: RNAcentral